RNAcentral lists this ribosomal RNA (490 nucleotides) under uncultured bacterium. RNAcentral's name for it is "partial 16S ribosomal RNA". It matches the Rfam family "Bacterial small subunit ribosomal RNA", at positions 30 to 507 of the family's 1533-position model. The record is from RNAcentral.
AUUGAACGCUGGCGGCAUGCUUUACACAUGCCAGUCGGACGGCAGCACAGAGAAGCUUGCUUCUUGGGUGGCGAGUGGCGAACGGGUGAGUAACAUAUCGGAACGUACCGAGCAGUGGGGGAUAACUAAUCGAAAGAUUAGCUAAUACCGCAUAUCUUCUGAGGAAGAAAGCAGGGGACCAUUUGGCCUUGCGCUGUUUGAGCGGCCGAUAUCUGAUUAGCUAGUUGGUGGGGUAAAGGCCUACCAAGGCGACGAUCAGUAGCGGGUCUGAGAGGAUGAUCCGCCACACUGGGACUGAGACACGGCCCAGACUCCUACGGGAGGCAGCAGUGGGGAAUUUUGGACAAUGGGCGCAAGCCUGAUCCAGCCAUGCCGCGUGUCUGAAGAAGGCCUUCGGGUUGUAAAGGACUUUUGUCAGGGAAGAAAAGGGCGGGGUUAAUACCCCUGUCUGAUGACGGUACCUGAAGAAUAAGCACCGGCUAACUACGUG